UACGUAGGGGCCUAGCGUUGUCCGGAUUUAUUGGGCCUAAAGCAUCCGUAGCCGGUUCUGCAAGUCUUCCGUUAAAUCCACCUGCUUAACAGAUGGGCCGCGGAAGAUACUAUAGAGCUAGGAGGCGGGAGAGGCAAGCGGUACUCGAUGGGUAGGGGUAAAAUCCGUUGAUCCAUUGAAGACCACCAGUGGCGAAGGCGGCUUGCCAGAACGCGCUCGACGGUGAGGGAUGAAAGCUGGGGGAGCAAACCGG
This 253-nucleotide ribosomal RNA is filed under the name uncultured bacterium. Its description in RNAcentral is "partial 16S ribosomal RNA". It matches the Rfam family "Bacterial small subunit ribosomal RNA", at positions 524 to 776 of the family's 1533-position model. The record is from RNAcentral.